UAAAAUAGCUAUCAUGUCUACGGCCAUACCUGAUCCUGUCUGAUCUCGGAAGCUAAGCAGGAUUGGGCCUGAUUAGUACUUGGAUGGGAGACCACCUAGGAAGAUCAGGUGCUGUAGGCA
Non-coding RNA from Pteropus alecto (black flying fox), 120 nucleotides. The record is from Rfam. Lineage: Eukaryota; Metazoa; Chordata; Mammalia; Chiroptera; Pteropodidae.